This 451-nucleotide ribosomal RNA is filed under the name uncultured bacterium. RNAcentral's name for it is "bacterial SSU rRNA". It matches the Rfam family "Bacterial small subunit ribosomal RNA", at positions 340 to 784 of the family's 1533-position model. The record is from RNAcentral.
UACGGGAGGCAGCAGUGGGGAAUAUUGCACAAUGGGCGCAAGCCUGAUGCAGCCAUGCCGCGUGUAUGAAGAAGGCCUUCGGGUUGUAAAGUACUUUCAGUCGUGAGGAAGGUGUUAAGGUUAAUAACCUUAGCAAUUGACGUUAGCGACAGAAGAAGCACCGGCUAACUCCGUGCCAGCAGCCGCGGUAAUACGGAGGGUGCGAGCGUUAAUCGGAAUUACUGGGCGUAAAGGGCACGCAGGCGGUUAAUUAAGUUGGAUGUGAAAUCCCCGGGCUUAACCUGGGAAUGGCAUUCAAGACUGGUUAGCUAGAGUCUUGUAGAGGGGGUAGAAUUCCAUGUGUAGCGGUGAAAUGCGUAGAGAUGUGGAGGAAUACCGGUGGCGAAGGCGGCCCCUGGACAAAGACUGACGCUCAUGUGCGAAAGCGUGGGGAGCAAACAGGGAUUAGAUA